This 505-nucleotide ribosomal RNA is filed under the name uncultured bacterium. RNAcentral describes it as "partial 16S ribosomal RNA". It matches the Rfam family "Bacterial small subunit ribosomal RNA", at positions 28 to 507 of the family's 1533-position model. The record is from RNAcentral.
GCCGAACGCUGGCGGCGUGCCUAAUACAUGCAAGUCGAACGCACAGUUUAUACCGUAGCUUGCUACACCAUAGACUGUGAGUUGCGAACGGGUGAGUAACGCGUAGGUAACCUGCCUGGUAGCGGGGGAUAACUAUUGGAAACGAUAGCUAAUACCGCAUAAUAUUAAUUAUUGCAUGAUAAUUAAUUGAAAGGUGCAAUUGCACCACUACCAGAUGGACCUGCGUUGUAUUAGCUAGUAGGUGAGGUAACGGCUCACCUAGGCGACGAUACAUAGCCGACCUGAGAGGGUGAUCGGCCACACUGGGACUGAGACACGGCCCAGACUCCUACGGGAGGCAGCAGUAGGGAAUCUUCGGCAAUGGACGAAAGUCUGACCGAGCAACGCCGCGUGAGUGAAGAAGGUUUUCGGAUCGUAAAGCUCUGUUGUAAGAGAAGAACGGGUGUGAGAGUGGAAAGUUCACACUGUGACGGUAUCUUACCAGAAAGGGACGGCUAACUACGUG